Molecule: long non-coding RNA, 2315 nt
Organism: Nothobranchius furzeri (turquoise killifish)
Lineage: Eukaryota; Metazoa; Chordata; Actinopteri; Cyprinodontiformes; Nothobranchiidae
Source: Ensembl
UUUAAGGAUCCUCUGCUCUUUGACCACAUACGGAACCAUUACAGUGUUUUUUUUAUGUUUCUGUGAAGCCUCCAGCCGUCAUGGCUGGUCUUAACUUAGCAAACAGUCUCCUCUGAACCCAUGCAGGCACCACUCACCUGUAAUGAUCCGUAAACAUAGAAGUUAAACAGUUUAAGGCACUUAUUUAAUUUUAUUUAAAAUUGUUUUACAUGUCGAUUUCCUGCAGAAAUACAUGGUGGUGCUCAAGCACUUGAGCCUUUUUGAUAGUCCUAAAAGUCUGAAGUACACAUGGACUCUUAUGCAGUGAGACGCCAUGAGUGAGACAGAGACAUCAGCAUAGAUCUGAGGUGCUGCUCAACGUAUUACAGGACUGAAGGAGUUAUGAUGACUGCUAUACUCUACAGGCUGUGAGGGACUUUGUGCUAUGAAGUGAUGACUCUCAUGUGUUCAGCAGACCCUGGACUUGACUUGAUGCCCACAGCGGGGGGGAGUAUUAUUCACUGAGCUGGUAUUUAUAGGCGGAAGGAAAGCAGCUUUGAUAGAGUGUCCUCCAAGAAGGGAUGUACACAUGUCCCCAACUUCGUGCCUCUUCCCCUUUUCAUCUCUUUUUCUGCUUUAUCAAACAAUGCUCUGAAGUUCUGUGUGAUGUGCAUUUAAGGAGAUCUGGAGCUCCGUUAAAAUGUCAAGAGCCUAAAGCAUCUGAUUGAACUGCCGUAUAAAAGUCUAACUGGUCAUCCAAGACCCGUCCAGUCAUCAGUCACCCAGGAAGAUGAAAAGGGAUCAUCGCCAUCAGCUGACAGUUCAGAAAGGACACCAGACACACACACACACGCACACUCACACGCUCGUGGGCGCGUGCACACACACACACACACACACACACACACACACACACACACACACACACACAGAUAAAACUAAUCCCAGUGACUGCAUGUCUAAACACUUCUCCCUCACUCACUCCGGGGCCAUUUGACUGAUGAUGUCACGUCUUUUCCUGAGCUCUUUCCUUUGAUGUUUGCAGAAUUCAGAUUUUUAUGAAGUGAAAACCUGCAGGAACUCCAGCUGGCUGAUUGUGAUGCUUACAGUUGACCCACAUACAGUGGGCUGGCAUGCCUCAUCCUUUUAACUUAACUAAAUCAUCUCUUUUCUGCAUGAAUUUGCUUAAGCUCUAAAUGGAAAUGGACUUUAUCAUUGCAAUAAAACUCCUUCUAGCCUUAAAGCCAUGUGGAGUAUAAGGAUUAGUACCAUCGUCAGGAACCGGCCAAAUCCAGUCUUGUUCACGUCCACACAGGUGACACGGCCUACUUUAAUCUUUUAUUACCGUUAAAUUGUUAUAGAACUACAUAGUAAGAUGCUACUUUUUUUCAGGCUUUAAAGGGUGAAAGUAGUCAGUUUUAAUUGAGCUGAGCUGUAGCAACAUGAAUGGCCUCAUUUGUGACCCAAAGGUCACACUUCCUCAGCUGGGUCGAGCUGUCCUGGCUGUACUUCUAUCUACAGAUUAUCCAUCACAGGAGGCACAAAGUCUGCUGUAAACCAUCUUUAAUCUGACUGCUGUUCUAUCCGCAAGAUGAAGGACACUUCAAGAUUUAAAAGAAUCAUUUAAAAAAACCUCUUUUCACUGUUUAUUACAAUGUUCAUAAAUAAUCAUCAUAGUUCAUUAUUAAUGUAUUUAAUUACUGAAAUGAAUUAUUAUUAUUUGGUUAAUAAUUAUUAUUAUUUAUGAUAAUCAGUAAUGUCUAACAGUGACAAGAAGGUCAUGUGCACUUGUACACACCAUGCAGGACUCAGACAUCAGGGUUAAAGGUAACUGCUCUCACAUGUCUUUGCUCCAUAACCAAAGCUUUCUAUCUCUGAGAGGGCGUGUCCUGAGGUUUGUUAAAUCCUAAACUCCUCAGUUCAAGUUCAGUUUUUAUGAGCUCACCAAAAAUCUCUCCGUGGCGACGAGAGUCCCAGAGGAUCGAGACGGCUGCUCGAAACCUCUACUAAGCUGCUCUGUCACACUGAUAGAAUUGCUUCAACAAGAAACACCAUCUGCAACCAGCUGACGCAAAACUCCUUCAGAAUUAUUGAUUUUUGAGACGCAACCACUUUCAUUAGUCGUUGUGACCCGGAGACAUCUCAGGACCGAUUUGGUGGCACUAAGGUUCUUCUACCCACCUCGUGCUUGGGGGUCAUCAGCUCCUCCUGACAUCUCGGAUCCAAGAAGGGGGUCUCCUAACUGGGUGAGGUAGACACUUCCGACAGACUGCGUCCGCAUGCCUGUUUCUUUAAGAAAUAACUUAGCUCAGCUGCAAAACAACUCUUGCACCCAG